GAGGGUAUAGCUCAAAGUGGUAGAGCACAUGCUUAGCAUGCACGAGGUCCUGGGUUCCAUUCCCAAUACCUCCA
Molecule: transfer RNA, 74 nt
Filed under: Camelus bactrianus (Bactrian camel)
Lineage: Eukaryota; Metazoa; Chordata; Mammalia; Artiodactyla; Camelidae
Also listed under: 2 other names
Rfam family: tRNA
About the family: Transfer RNA (tRNA) molecules are approximately 80 nucleotides in length. Their secondary structure includes four short double-helical elements and three loops (D, anti-codon, and T loops).
Source: Rfam by way of RNAcentral